CCAGAACAUCUCAUCAACCAUCCCAGAAAUUUAACCUUGCCACCACAACCUUACCUAUUUCUGACGCAGAAUUGCUGAACGAAACCACCUCACCAUCUCCAUCCUGUUCUCCAGAAUCACCCCCUUACUAUAACAUUUCCUCAGACACAGAACACUCUGACCCCUCAUCUCCUACUCUAGCCCAACUCCAAACUCAAACUCUGGCCUCACAACAACCACCACAACCCACAUCUGAACCAGAAGUCAC
RNAcentral lists this long non-coding RNA (247 nucleotides) under Lathyrus oleraceus (garden pea). RNAcentral's name for it is "Pisum sativum (pea) long non-coding RNA (PSAT_LNC031372)". The record is from RNAcentral. Lineage: Eukaryota; Viridiplantae; Streptophyta; Magnoliopsida; Fabales; Fabaceae.